UAAAAGGUGCCUCUUUGCCAAGUUAGCAGGGGUGAGAGGAAUUUGAAGUCUGAGAGCCAGCAAAGGGGGUGGGACUGGCUGCACGGGCUCCCUCCAACCCUGGAGGGACAGCCCGUGCCAGCCAAUGAGCUGGCAGCCCGGAGAAGAAGCUUCCUCCGUUACCUCCAGUUUGGAGAACAAUCUCAAUCCGAGCAUAAUGGAGAUAGGAAUGGAUCUUUGGUUGUGUGAGUGGAGCUCACUACAAACCAAGGGUUCAUUCCCAGGUUUGGGGGCAAAAUUGGGUCUGGGGAAAGCGUGUUUGGGUCCAGGAACUGCGGUUCCAAUAAUUCUGACAUCACAGGGGCUGACCUGGAGCUGUUGGAAGACUUUCUUGGUACGCAACCUCUUGGCUUUUACAUCUGGAAUCAUGCUUGUCAUGGUUACUUAAACACUGGAACAACUGGAACAAAAAUCUUUUUCGGAGUUUUACAGUUUGAAGAAAGCUUUUAAACAAACAAAACAGAACGGCAUCAGCCUUAAACACCACAAUAGACUGAUUUCAAAAGGUGACAAUAGCAUGGAGAAGGCUCCCAAGAGACAUUCGCUGCAGCAGUUGAUGAAAGACUGAGGGACAAAAUAUCAAGGAUCUAAAAGUAACUGUUCUUAAGAAAAUCAGCUGCAGGAGACUCACGGAGCAUGAAAUAGUGGAUCAGGAACUGAUACAGAAAUCUGACGGUAUUGAUUGAGGUCUUAAGAGAUAUUAUGGUUUCCUUGUACAUUCUAAAGAACCCACUUCUAUUUUAAAUUUUUAUGUUUUAUCUCUCUUCUUCUGAAGAUUUUGGAAUAUUUUCAUUACGUCUACCAUCAACUGACCUUUCUACUGUGCUCCCCCCAGUUCCAGUUUAGCAUCUGAUGAAGCAGAUUGUUGCCGACCAA
Hemicordylus capensis (graceful crag lizard) is the source of this 915-nucleotide long non-coding RNA. RefSeq lists it as uncharacterized. The record is from RefSeq and is a predicted model, not a curated record. The transcript is spliced from 4 exons. NCBI's taxonomy places the organism in Eukaryota, Metazoa, Chordata, Lepidosauria, Squamata, Cordylidae.